This 442-nucleotide ribosomal RNA is filed under the name Spiriverpa albiceps. RNAcentral describes it as "partial 16S ribosomal RNA". It matches the Rfam family "Bacterial large subunit ribosomal RNA", at positions 1925 to 2577 of the family's 2925-position model. The record is from RNAcentral. Lineage: Eukaryota; Metazoa; Arthropoda; Insecta; Diptera; Therevidae.
AAAUGGCCGCAGUAUUUUAACUGUGCAAAGGUGGCAUAAUCAUUAGUCUUUUAAUUGAAGGCUUGUAUGAAUGGUUGGACGAAAUAUUAACUGUUUCAUAAGAAUUGAAUUAGAAUUUUAUUUUUUAGUUAAAAAGCUAAAAUGAUUUUAAAAGACGAGAAGACCCUAUAGAUCUUUAUAAUUUAUGUUUUAUAUCUGUGUAGAUUAGUUGGGUUAUGAAUAUAUAAAUUAUUUUGUUGGGGUGACAUUAAAAUUUAGUUAACUUUUAAUUAAUUAAUACAUUAAUUUAUGAGUAUUUGAUCCAUUAAUAAUGAUUAAAAAAUUAAGUUACCUUAGGGAUAACAGCGUAAUUUUUUUGGAGAGUUCAUAUCGAUAAAAAAGAUUGCGACCUCGAUGUUGGAUUAAGAUAUAAUUUUGGGUGCAGCAAUUCAAUUAUUAAGUC